Molecule: ribosomal RNA, 253 nt
Filed under: uncultured bacterium
Lineage: Bacteria
Description: partial 16S ribosomal RNA
Rfam family: Bacterial small subunit ribosomal RNA
Source: RNAcentral
UACGUAGGGCGCAAGCGUUGUCCGGAAUUAUUGGGCGUAAAGAGCUCGUAGGCGGCCUGUUACGUCUGCUGUGAAAUCCCGGGGCUUAACCCCGGGCGUGCAGUGGAUACGGGCAGGCUGGAGGCAGGCAGGGGAGAACGGAAUUCCCGGUGUAGCGGUGAAAUGCGCAGAUAUCAGGAGGAACACCGGUGGCGAAGGCGGUUCUCUGGGCAUUACCUGACGCUGAGGAGCGAAAGUGUGGGGAGCGAACAGG